CAGAUGAAACAGUAAGGUGGCCAAAGGAAGGUUCUCCUUCCUGCAGUAUCAUAAGACUGGUACCAGCUGCACAACAUGACUGACAAGAGCUGUCUGGAGCCACAUUCUUUCUUCUUGACACCUGACAGAUGGCAGAAAAUAGGUGGCUUUGGCGAAAUUAAUUAGAGACGCAUUGAAGAAACAAUAACCAUGAACACCCUCUGGCAAAAAUAUGAUGUUAUUUGGCACAAAGAACCUUUGUGCAAAAGCAUUGCAGCAGCAGAAGUACUCUGACUAUGCUGAAGAAGAGCUCACCAAAUAGAAAACAACCCUUGACAAAAGGAGAGAAGCGUGGCCGCAAGGAGCCAUGAGACUGAAGAGCAAAAUUCAACACAUCUCUCCAAAUUACUGACUACAAUACUAGGUGUCCUGUGUUUUGCUGUUGUUGCCUCUACAGGCACCUGCAGCAAGCCAAGGUGAGUUAAUCAACUUCCUGCACGGUGCACUGCUUUUUCGUUCUUCUCUAUAUGCACUGGCAGCUCCCUUAUCCCUUGGUUGCUAAGUAUUAGGAAAGGCAGAGAUGCCUGAACUUUUGCAGUUUUCCUCCUAGAGUAUUCACCCCUCACAUGCAAGUCACCAGAGAAGCAGAUGAUCUGAGAAGAGCAUGAUGCAGCCUGGUACACCUCAACCCACUUGGGCAGGUCUCCCCAUUUUAUCAUGGCACCCAAAUCACCUGGUUGAACAGCCCAAGAGGAGAAGUGGCAUAUUUCCUAUCACUCAACUCUGCUGUAAUAACAGUUCAGUGUCUGUCUCUAAAGCAGCCUCAUACAUAAGUCAACCUGCUCUCACAGAAAGCUUGACUUCAACUCUGCUUACUCCAGUGAAGAGACUUCUACUAGGCUCUGUCA
Molecule: long non-coding RNA, 887 nt
Organism: Corapipo altera (White-ruffed manakin)
Lineage: Eukaryota; Metazoa; Chordata; Aves; Passeriformes; Pipridae
Exons: 3
Source: RefSeq, a predicted model, not a curated record